Molecule: ribosomal RNA, 757 nt
Filed under: Arthrobacter pascens
Lineage: Bacteria; Bacillati; Actinomycetota; Actinomycetes; Micrococcales; Micrococcaceae
Description: bacterial SSU rRNA
Rfam family: Bacterial small subunit ribosomal RNA
Source: RNAcentral
GGAAUUAUUGGGCGUAAAGAGCUCGUAGGCGGUUUGUCGCGUCUGCCGUGAAAGUCCGGGGCUCAACUCCGGGAUCUGCGGUGGGUACGGGCAGACUAGAGUGAUGUAGGGGAGACUGGAAUUCCUGGUGUAGCGGUGAAAUGCGCAGAUAUCAGGAGGAACACCGAUGGCGAAGGCAGGUCUCUGGGCAUUAACUGACGCUGAGGAGCGAAAGCAUGGGGAGCGAACAGGAUUAGAUACCCUGGUAGUCCAUGCCGUAAACGUUGGGCACUAGGUGUGGGGGACAUUCCACGUUUUCCGCGCCGUAGCUAACGCAUUAAGUGCCCCGCCUGGGGAGUACGGCCGCAAGGCUAAAACUCAAAGGAAUUGACGGGGGCCCGCACAAGCGGCGGAGCAUGCGGAUUAAUUCGAUGCAACGCGAAGAACCUUACCAAGGCUUGACAUGAACCGGACCGCUGCAGAAAUGUGGUUUCCCCUUUGGGGCUGGUUUACAGGUGGUGCAUGGUUGUCGUCAGCUCGUGUCGUGAGAUGUUGGGUUAAGUCCCGCAACGAGCGCAACCCUCGUUCUAUGUUGCCAGCACGUGAUGGUGGGGACUCAUAGGAGACUGCCGGGGUCAACUCGGAGGAAGGUGGGGACGACGUCAAAUCAUCAUGCCCCUUAUGUCUUGGGCUUCACGCAUGCUACAAUGGCCGGUACAAAGGGUUGCGAUACUGUGAGGUGGAGCUAAUCCCAAAAAGCCGGUAUCAGUUCGGAUUG